AUGCGCCAGAAACAGCUGAGAGCUCGAUUAUCUCCAGAUGAGCAGCUUGCUGCUGAAGAAAGUUUCGCGUUGUACUGCAAGCCAGUUGAGCUAUACAAUAUCAUUCAGCGGCGAGCCAUUAGAAAUCCCGCUUUUCUGCAAAUAUGCCUUCAUUACAAGAUACAUGCAAGCCGAAAAAAGAGGAUUCAGAUAACGGUAUCACUAUCUCGAAGUACAAAUACUAAGUUGCCAGAACAGAAUAUCUUUCCUCUUUAUGUCCUGUUGGCUACACCUACCAGUAAUAUUUCGCUUGAAGGGCAUUCUCCGAUAUAUCGAUUCAGUCGGGCUUGUUUGCUUACAGCUUUUAGUGAAUUUGGUAAUAAAGAUCGCACCAACGCUACAUUCAUAACUCCAGACAUCAAGAAUUUAUCAACCUCCCGACCUUGCAACCUUAACAUUAUCCUUAUCAGUCGUGUUUCGGAAGGGCAAGUUGGGGAAAAUCUUGGUGAAAAUAACUGCUCUGUGGACCAUGUGGAAGGCUCUGCUCUCCAAAAGCUUGAAGGGAAAUGUUUCUAG
RNAcentral lists this ribosomal RNA (555 nucleotides) under Triticum aestivum (bread wheat). Its description in RNAcentral is "partial small subunit ribosomal RNA". Lineage: Eukaryota; Viridiplantae; Streptophyta; Magnoliopsida; Poales; Poaceae. The record is from RNAcentral.